This 301-nucleotide ribosomal RNA is filed under the name uncultured bacterium. Its description in RNAcentral is "partial 16S ribosomal RNA". It matches the Rfam family "Bacterial small subunit ribosomal RNA", at positions 509 to 807 of the family's 1533-position model. The record is from RNAcentral.
CAGUAGCCGCGGGAAUACGAAGGGUGCAAGCGUUAAUCGGAAUUACUGGGCGUAAAGCGUGCGUAGGCGGUGAGUUAAGUCUGCUGUGAAGUCCCCGGGCUCAACCUGGGAAUGGCAGUGGAUACUGGCUCGCUAGAGUGUGUCAGAGGAUGGUGGAAUUCCCGGUGUAGCGGUGAAAUGCGUAGAGAUCGGGAGGAACACCGAUGGCGAAGGCAGCCCCCUGGGCCAAUACUGACGCUCAUGCACGAAAGCGUGGGGAGCAAACAGGAUUAGAUACCCCCGUAGUCCCUGUCUCUUAUAC